Molecule: long non-coding RNA, 632 nt
Filed under: Sorghum bicolor (sorghum)
Lineage: Eukaryota; Viridiplantae; Streptophyta; Magnoliopsida; Poales; Poaceae
Description: long non-coding RNA (SBIC_LNC016059)
Source: RNAcentral
GGCCGAGCGGAAGUGGGCCGGCCUGCGGGCCUUUUUGGCUGGGCCUCUCCCGGCUGUUUUUUGUUUUCUUUUUCCUUUUCGAGUUAAAAAUGCUUGAUAUUUGAAUUUGUGUAGAAAAUUGUGUGCUAAUCCAAAAAUGAUGCAAAUUUGUGUAUAAGUUCUAUGAAAUGAGUAAAGCACAGGAAAAUUAGUAGAUUUUAUUUUCUGAUGGUUUGCAUAUAUUUAAAAAUUACCUCUUUUAUUUAAUGAAUCAAACUUCUAGGAAUUUUAGAAAUUUAUUAGUAUGCCCAAAAAUCACCAAACUUUUUGGGGAGUCUCUGAAUACUAUUCCCUGUCUCCACACAAAAUUUGGGAUCUUUUGGAUAAUGUUUGAAUAAAAUAUUAAUAAACCCUUAUUUAGUAAUUAAAUAAUAAUUCUAGAAUAAUUACAUAAUAAUUAGUUAAUUGCUCAAGACUAGGAUUUGAGUGAUUUUGGAAUUAUGAGAUGACCUAAGGUCAUUAACCUUAAUGGCCUUUGGCAUUUAAUUAUUGUUUGACCUUAAUGCUUAAUUACUGUCAUUAAUAAUUAAUUAACAAUUAAUUAAGGUAAAUAGGUUUAAUAAUUAAUUAGUUAAAGAUAAUUAUGAAUUAAG